GUGGUCUGGACAAGUUGCUCAGAGACAUGCCGCUCUAGCCCUUUCACUUUUCCUGUCUGUACCCGGGAGUGUCACGGAGCAGAAAGGCACCUUUUGAGCCUCCCUUGGCUAAUGUACAUCUGCUCGCUUGCUGGCACAGAACUUGAGAAUUGGUGAAAAAAGAGACAUGCUGUUGAAGCUUUUCAUCCUGUACUCAACAGGCCAGAUGCAAGAAUGCCAAAUUUCAAAGGGAGCAACAAUUUAUACUGCAUGAGAAAAGGGUGCUGAUUGGUUAGCAAAUCGACUCUGGUCAAGGUGUUGCCAUGGAGAAUUAACCAGGGGACUAUUGUCUCCCAUGCUUCUGUUUAAUUUUAAAAAAAUGCAAUGCCUGGUCAUGUUCCUUUUGCCUGCAGAGGACACAUUCCUGUGUAUGAAUGUUUGUAGCUUCUAGCAAGCAUAGGUGAGCCAUGUUGAAAGCCCAACUGAUAAUCUUAAAUGGGUUGUUCGUGUAAUUCUUAACACACUAAGGAUUGUUCAGCAAGUGUUGUCCAAUCGUGGAAUGACAUCUAGUGUUAGACAUUAUGUCCUGAGAUGUGCAAGUGUGGACUGGCUGCGUACUCUGCCUGUUGUGAACAGCCGAAGGGACGUGCCGUUUGAUACCAGUCGUUGGCAUGUUUGACCUACAUACCUGGCAGCGCACUGGGACUGAACUUCAUAGACCACAUUACUCAUUUGUGUGGUAGGCAGAACAUACUUUUGGCUUGAUGGCAGCACCCUGUUAGUGCAAAACGCUAGUCGUGUAGUUACUGUGCAGUAGCAGCGUGAAACAACAAGCCUCAGCUCUUUCCAAAGCUUUGGCAGCAUGUAUCUCUUUUAAGCAAUACUGAUGUAUACCUGCAGAUCACAGCGAGCAUCUGCUGAUGCAUUGUUGAGGAAUACUGCAGGCUGCAAGUUGACAUUUCAAUAAACAAGUGUUAUGA
This is a long non-coding RNA of Carcharodon carcharias (great white shark), 959 nucleotides long. RefSeq lists it as uncharacterized. The record is from RefSeq and is a predicted model, not a curated record. Lineage: Eukaryota; Metazoa; Chordata; Chondrichthyes; Lamniformes; Lamnidae. The transcript is spliced from 2 exons.